This 506-nucleotide ribosomal RNA is filed under the name uncultured bacterium. Its description in RNAcentral is "bacterial SSU rRNA". It matches the Rfam family "Bacterial small subunit ribosomal RNA", at positions 28 to 525 of the family's 1533-position model. The record is from RNAcentral.
GAUGAACGCUAGCGGCAGGCCUAACACAUGCAAGUCGAGGGGUAACAUAGGAAAGCUUGCUUUUCUGAUGACGACCGGCGCACGGGUGCGUAACGCGUAUACAACCUACCUUUUAGCGGGGAAUAGCCCAGGGAAACUUGGAUUAAUGCCCCAUAGUAUGGAGAUCUCUCCUGAGAUUUUCAUUAAACAUUUAUGGCUAUUAGAUGGGUAUGCGUCCUAUUAGUUAGUUGGUAAGGUAACGGCUUACCAAGGCAGCGAUAGGUAGGGGUCCUGAGAGGGAGAUCCCCCACACUGGUACUGAGACACGGACCAGACUCCUACGGGAGGCAGCAGUGAGGAAUAUUGGACAAUGGGCGAGAGCCUGAUCCAGCCAUGCCGCGUGCAGGAAGACUGCCCUAUGGGUUGUAAACUGCUUUUACAGAGGAAGAAUCGCCACUACGUGUAGUGGUUUGACGGUACUCUGCGAAUAAGGAUCGGCUAACUCCGUGCCAGCCGCCGCAGUAAAC